GACGAACGCUGGCGGCGUGCUUAACACAUGCAAGUCGAACGAAGAGCGAUGGAAGCUUGCUUCUAUCAAUCUUAGUGGCGAACGGGUGAGUAACGCGUAAUCAACCUGCCCUUCAGAGGGGGACAACAGUUGGAAACGACUGCUAAUACCGCAUACGAUGUAAUCUCGGCAUCGAGGAUAGAUGAAAGGUGGCCUCUAUUUAUAAGCUAUCACUGAAGGAGGGGAUUGCGUCUGAUUAGCUAGUUGGAGGGGUAACGGCCCACCAAGGCGAUGAUCAGUAGCCGGUCUGAGAGGAUGAACGGCCACAUUGGGAGUGAGACACGGCCCAGACUCCUACGGGAGGCAGCAGUGGGGAAUCUUCCGCAAUGGACGAAAGUCUGACGGAGCAACGCCGCGUGAGUGAUGACGGCCUUCGGGUUGUAAAGCUCUGUUAAUCGGGACGAAAGGCC
This 449-nucleotide ribosomal RNA is filed under the name Veillonella dispar. RNAcentral's name for it is "bacterial SSU rRNA". It matches the Rfam family "Bacterial small subunit ribosomal RNA", at positions 28 to 454 of the family's 1533-position model. The record is from RNAcentral. Lineage: Bacteria; Bacillati; Bacillota; Negativicutes; Veillonellales; Veillonellaceae.